Molecule: ribosomal RNA, 371 nt
Filed under: uncultured organism
Description: bacterial SSU rRNA
Rfam family: Bacterial small subunit ribosomal RNA
Source: RNAcentral
CGUAGGUGCGAGCGUUAAUCGGAAUUACUGGGCGUAAAGUGUGCGCAGGCGGCCGCGCAAGUCGAGUGUGAAAUCCCCGAGCUUAACUUGGGAAUUGCGCUCGAAACUACGUGGCUGGAGUGUGGCAGAGGAAGGUGGAAUUCCACGUGUAGCGGUGAAAUGCGUAGAUAUGUGGAGGAACACCGAUGGCGAAGGCAGCCUUCUGGGCCAACACUGACGCUCAUGCACGAAAGCGUGGGGAGCAAACAGGAUUAGAUACCCUGGUAGUCCACGCCCUAAACGAUGAUGACUAGUUGUUGGAGGAGUUAAAUCCUUUAGUAACGCAGCUAACGCGUGAAGUCAUCCGCCUGGGGAGUACGGUCGCAAGAUUA